Long non-coding RNA from Anolis carolinensis (green anole), 2716 nucleotides. RefSeq lists it as uncharacterized. The record is from RefSeq and is a predicted model, not a curated record. NCBI's taxonomy places the organism in Eukaryota, Metazoa, Chordata, Lepidosauria, Squamata, Anolidae. The transcript has 2 exons.
UUUGAGCGCAAACAACAAGCGGAGAGAAAAGGAAAACAAGGGAAGUGGCGCGCCCGGGGAAAGUCCGGCUGACUGUGAGUCUGGCUGCAUCUACACCAGGCAUGGGCGAAGUUGGGCCCUCCAGGUGUUUUGGACUUCAACUCCCACAAUUCCUAACAGCCGGUAGGAAUUGCCUGCUCUACACUGUAGCAUGAAUGCAAUUUGGCACCACUUUAGCUGCCUUGGCUCAAUGCUAUGGAACUUGGGAACUCUCGUGCCUCCCCAAAGUGCGGGUCCCGGAAUUGCAGUGGGGCUGCUCCCAAGAAAUGAGGAGGAGCGCGCAGGGAGCUCGAAGUUUGUUCUUUUUUUGCUUUUGUCCUGCGUUACUUACCCCAAAGAUAAUUUUUUACCUAUUGAUCUACUCACAUUGGCAUGUUUUCGAAUUGCUAGGUUGGCAGGAUCAGGAGCUAACAGUGGCCGCUCCCGUGGUUUGAACCUGGGACCUUUCAGUUUCCAGCUCAGUUCUUUAACGCACUUCGCCACCCUAGCUAUGCAAAAUGAACUCUGGUGCUGGAGGAAAAUCCUGAGAGUGCCUUGGACCGCAAGAAGAUCCAACCAGUCCAUCCUCCAGGAAAUAAUGGCCGGCUGCUCACUGGAGGGAAGGAUACUAGAGGCAAAGCUGAAUUAUUUUGGCCACAUCAUGAGGAGACAGGAAAGCUUGGAAAAGAUCAUGAUGUUGGGGAAAAUGGAAGGAAAAAAGGAAGAGAGGCCGACCAAGGGCAAGAUGGAUAGACGGUAUCCUUGAAGUGACUGGCUUGACCUUGAAGGAACUGAGGGCGGUGACGGCUGAUAGGGAGCUCUGGCGUGGACUGGUCCAUGAGGUCACGAAGAGUCGGAGACGACUAAACGACUGAGCAGCAUGCAAAAUGGAUAUACAGUUGGCCCUCCAUCCCUCCAGAUUCAGCCAUCCCUGGCUCGAAAAUAUUUCUUUCAAAUCCAAAAAGGCAAACUUUGGUUUUUCCAACUGACUACACCAUUGCAUGCCAUGGGACAAGAGCACCCACCUACCUUGGUGUCCAUGGAGCAUUUAUAAAGGAUUCGCUCUUCAAGAGAAUAGCUUUUUGCAGCUCUUCUAGGUUGUUGGUGUGCCUUGGAUUGUGGAUAUUUUGUGUAAAUAGCGGGAACUGCUGUAUUCAGAUUUUAUUUAAUACAGUAGUUGUAUUAUCAGUUGGACCAUGCUCUGACUUACAAGAAGCACUGCUUGAAUAUCAAACAAAAAGUGGGUGCUAGAAAUAAUAUCACGUGAAAGCUGACUGGCACAACCUGGGGAUCACAACCAGAUACAGUGAAGACAUCAGGGCAGAUGUGCUUUGCUACUCUGCUGCUGAAUAUGCAUCCCAGAGUGGAAUACAUCUCACCACAUUGAAACAGUGGAUGUGGCUCUCAAUGAGCCAUGCCGCAUUAUCACAGGAUGCCUACAUCCUACACGACUGGAGAGAUUAUACUCUUUAUCUGGUAUUGCACUACCUGACAUCCGUCAAGAAGUAGCAGCCAGCAAUGGAAGGACCAAGGCAGUGACAUCGCCAACUCAUCCUCUGUUCAGAUAUCAGCCAGCAUGCCAAUGCCUUAAAUCAAGAAACAGCUGAGGUCUACAGUGAUACUCACAGGAACACCUCAGCAAGCAAGAGUCCAAAAGUGGCAGGUUAAAACCCGGAACCACAAUCCAUGGCUAAUGAUUGGAAACUCCCUCCUGGGCACACAGAAGACUGGGCGACUUGGAAGGCGCUAAACAGGCAGCGCUCUGACACCACAAGAUGCAGAGCCAAUCUUAAGAAAUGGAGCCACAAAGUGGAGUCCACAGCAUGCGAGUGCAGAGAAGUGCAAAGCACAGACCACUUACUACAAUGCAGUCUGACCCCUGCCACAUGCGCAAUGGAUGACCUUCUCAUAGCAACACCAGAGGCACUUGCAAGUGACUAGCUUCUGGUCAAAGGAAAUCUAGUAAUCUGGACGGACGCUUGGGCUCUUGUUGGGGAACUUCCUGAAGACGGGUGUGAUUCGUUGCUGGAUACGUAAGUUUACCAAGGACACUGGGCAUCGACGGCGGGAGGAACUGUGCGGGGUUUUUCUCUGUGCAACUUGUGUUUAAUCUCAAUAGCUUGGACCUCCGUCGUCUUUUUGACGGGCAAUACCUACUUACUGGAUUGACGCUGGACUGAUUGACUUCGAUUCCGGAUUAUCCCUUCUGCUGGCUAUCGGUGAGACCCUUGGAUUUCUGGACGGCUACGCUUGGCUAUAGACCUCUGGACCGGAUUGGGACCCUGCUGACUGCCGUCACCCUGACCGCUGUGCCUGGACCUGGAUUUCGUUGGCCGCUGAACCUUAAACUGAAUCCUGACUACGACAACGCUUUCGUCCGCUGCAGGAAGGAAUAAACAAGCCUGGUUUAUUCCCCUGCUGUUUCUGAGUAGCAGAGAGGAAUCUGCCACCAGUCUGUUGUUUACAUUCUGACUCCUGUUGAUCCUCUUUUGUUUGCAUUGUUUGCCAGGCUGAAGUAAGCACUUUGAUUUAAUCCGGAUUAUACUUCUGUUUAACCCGGUUUAUUCCUUUGAACCGUUUAAGCUCAAACUGAGCUGUUUUUUGUUAUUUAUCACACUGAAGUCAAGUGUUUGCCCUGUUCUUUGUUUCCUACGGGCGUUUUUAGUUCUGUAACCUCAAUAAACUGAGUUUUGUUUUA